GAUGAACGCUGGCGGCGUGCCUAAUACAUGCAAGUCGAGCGAACGGACGCGAAGCUUGCUUCUCUGAUGUUAACGGCGGACGUGUGAGUAAAACGUGGAUCACCUACCUUUAAGACUGGGAUAACUUCGUGAAACUGGAGCUAAUUCCGGAUACUAUUUUGAACCGCAUGGUUCAAAAGUUUCAGACGGUCUGGCUGUCCCUUAUAGAUGUCUCCUCGCUGCAUUAGCUAGUUGGUAAGGUAACGGCUUACCAAGGCAACGAUGCAUAGCCGACCUGAGAGGGUGAUCGGCGACACUGGAAGUGAGAGACGGUACAGAGUCCGACGGGAGGCAGCAGUAGGGAAUCUUCCGAAAUGGGCGAAAGCCUGAAGAAGCAACGGAGGGUGAGUGAUGAAGGGCUUCGGAUCGGAAAACGCUGUUAUGAGGGAAGACCAUAUGUGGAAGUAACUGUACACAUCGUGACGGUACCUAAUCAGAAAGCAACGGCUAACUACGUG
Molecule: ribosomal RNA, 497 nt
Filed under: uncultured bacterium
Lineage: Bacteria
Description: partial 16S ribosomal RNA
Rfam family: Bacterial small subunit ribosomal RNA
Source: RNAcentral